Molecule: long non-coding RNA, 255 nt
Filed under: Vigna radiata
Lineage: Eukaryota; Viridiplantae; Streptophyta; Magnoliopsida; Fabales; Fabaceae
Description: long non-coding RNA (VRAD_LNC001047)
Source: RNAcentral
AGGGACGGACGAGGAGUGACGAAGGGACGAGGGACUGGUGGAAGAGACAAAUUGUGAAGGUUUUGUGUAGCUCGACCUCACACCGGAACAAAAAGUAAAGAAAAUAUAAAGGAAUCACAAAAAGCAAGAAAGUGAACCAAAAAACAUGAAUUUAGUGAAAGAGUUAGAAAUGUUAAAGAGGAUGGUGUAUUUUGUUUGUAGUUGUUAUUUUCUUAGUAUUUAGAAGGGUUGCUAUAAGAAUAAAUGUUGUUAUUA